UACAGAGGGGGCAAGCGUUGUUCGGAAUUACUGGGCGUAAAGGGCGCGUAGGCGGCCUGCUAAGUCGAACGUGAAAUCCCCGGGCUCAACCCGGGAACUGCGCCCGAUACUGGCAGGCUUGAAUCCGGGAGAGGGAUGUGGAAUUCCAGGUGUAGCGGUGAAAUGCGUAGAUAUCUGGAGGAACACCGGUGGCGAAGGCGGCAUCCUGGACCGGCAUUGACGCUGAGGCGCGAAAGCCAGGGGAGCAAACGGG
Molecule: ribosomal RNA, 253 nt
Filed under: uncultured bacterium
Lineage: Bacteria
Description: partial 16S ribosomal RNA
Rfam family: Bacterial small subunit ribosomal RNA
Source: RNAcentral